Molecule: non-coding RNA, 79 nt
Organism: Potamilus streckersoni
Lineage: Eukaryota; Metazoa; Mollusca; Bivalvia; Unionida; Unionidae
Source: the annotation of a GenBank genome assembly
UGACCUCUCCUUUUGCUUAGUGGUUAGAGCGUCCGCCUCGAAUGCAGGAGGUCGUGGGUUUGAAUCCCGGCCGAGUCAU